This is a long non-coding RNA of Mesocricetus auratus (golden hamster), 1329 nucleotides long. RefSeq lists it as uncharacterized. The transcript has 4 exons. Lineage: Eukaryota; Metazoa; Chordata; Mammalia; Rodentia; Cricetidae. The record is from RefSeq and is a predicted model, not a curated record.
CAACAUGUGACGCCAUGGGGGUAGGACGCUGGGAACUAUUCUCCGAAGCUGUGUGAGACAACAUGUCCCUGAGGGCCAGGACUGGAGUCAGUUCUUCCAAGUACACACUCUUUGGGAAAGGAAAGGAAGAAAAAACUUGAACUGCUUCUUAUGUUUUCAACCCAAGGCAUAGGUAGAGCGGUCCUGGAAGAGCGGGCCAGAAGGUGGCUCCGUGGACAGAGACGAUCUGCAGAGGUGCUGUGGGUGUCUGAUGAUUUCAGAGAGCAGACUGGUGUCCGAGCCUGUGAGAGCUCUCCAGAGGUAUCAAUCUGCCUAGAACACUGUGGUCAGAAAUGUUCUUGUCUUCCCUGCAUGCUGUGGCCCGACUAAAGGACAACAAUGAGCAUGAGUGUGGCAGAUCCUCUGAGAUGUUCUACAAGAAAAGCAAAACAAGACAAAAGCAAAAGAAACAGGACAAAAUUAGGCAUUCUCCCAUUAUUUAGCCCUGUCUUGAGCAUCCAUUUUAACAGUAACAUAUAUUGCUACCCACAUGACCGUCAAACAACUGCUAAGACCCCACACGUAUUCUAAAACACUGGUUGUCUCCUUUGAAGGCAGCAUGUGCUAUUCUACAGAACCAAAGAAGAGCCUCAGGCCCACACAGGCCACCCAGACCUGCCUUGCAGAUAUUUAUAGACUGGUUGGUGUUAACUUCUACACAGACAAUGCAUUUCUGACCUUGCCCUACUGUUGAUGACUUCUAAGUUCUAGGAACAUCGGGACUGGCCCAUCACCCUGCUUGAGCUAACCAUAUUUGACACAAGCAAUCCCAUUCACGGUGGCCCCGUGCCCUUGCUUACACCAGUCACAAUCCAGGAAGUAAUGUCGUGCUUGGGUUUUAGCAUAAACUUCAAAUCACAUGCACACUAACACUACUUCACAAGCUAGAAAUUACCACGUCUGGCUCAUUGACAUUUACUUCUGGGGACCAUUUCAAUCAGAUUAAUCCUUUCAUCUAAAUAAUUUUCCACUCACUUCACAGCAUCAAAACUCACCAACCCAUUCUCUACUGAUGCUCCCGACCUCCCUUCCUGUAGACGGUGAGACAAGAUUAAUUAUUACCUGGAGUUGUACACACUAUACCCUUAUUGGCAUUCAAGGAAAUCCAAAUAGCAGCAACAUCUACCUUAGCAGGGUGUGAGGAAGAGAAGAAAGAGCAGGAAAGAUGGAGAGACAACCGACUCUCCAUUUAUGAGCUGGCUGCUGGAGAAAGGGAUCCGACUAACACACAGGGGCUCAUGUGUUAAUUGGAGGCAGCUUCUGCAGCAGAACAAAUACCCCGGGCAUUUA